UCUGUGCACCUCUCUCACAGCCCUUUCUGGCAGUCACUCUGCCUCCGCCAGCUCCCUGCUUGGAGCUCCUGCCUGUUCCUGCCUGUCUGGGGCCUCAGGGACUCAGCCCUUGCUUGUCAGCGGGCCAGAUAUCCCCUGCCUUCGACCGCCGCCCACCCCCACCUCCUUGGAGCAUGCUGUGGCCCCAUCCUCAGAGGAAGACUACAGUUGGGCUUAAACGAAUUACUAAGCAGGAAGUAAAGCAUGUACCCGUGGCUAAUUCCAUGUGUGGCAGCUCUCGCGAGAGUUUGCAAGUGAGCUGCCGGAAGAGGAAGAGGAAUGCUGGAAAGUGGUGGCUGGAAGCAAAACUGCAUAGGUAUUGAUAGGGAGGAGAGAGUGAGCUGAGAGGCCCAGCCCCAAGAGGGAUUCCCUGAGGAAGAGGAGAGUGGCCACCUACCCUCCUGCCUUCCAGUCAGUGUCUUAAAGUAGAGGCAGGGGGCAGUAAGUCUCGAGGGUGCUCCCACAGCAACGCUGCCAACGGGGAGAGCACAGCACCAAGGUCCGUCUUGGGUGGGGGAGCAGAUGGGGACGUUGGAAAAAACCUGAGGGCGUGGGAGGCCAAGAAGAGAGACCAAGGUGAGGAUGGGGGAGAAAGCUGCUUUUGUGAGCCUGCUUAUUGCCCAAAUGACAUGCAGCAAAAAAGAAAAAAGAGGGGAAGGAGGGAGAAAGAAAGAGAAAAGGAAAGAAAGAAGGGAGGGGAAGAAAUAGAGAGAGGAAGAGGGAAACAGAGAAAAAGAAAGAAGGGGUAAAGACAGAUGGGAAGAGAGAGGAAGAGGAGAGAGAGAAAGUAGGGAGGGGCAGAGAGUAAGAAAGAAAGGAGAGGAUGAAAGGGGGGGGGAGAGAAAAUAAACAAAAGAAAAAACAAAGGGGAAGAGAGAGCGAAUGGGGAGUUUGGCGUCCUAAACAAGAAGGAGGAAGGGAAAGUUGGAGGCUGCUGGAGUAGGAGCUGAAUGACACAUGGAUGCCAGAGUUGUGGGAAUGACAUGUUGGAAGCAACGGAAUGGAAGAGGAUGAGGAGAAGCAGGAGCAGGGCUCAGAUUUUGUCUACACUGAAUGAUAGCAGCUCUCCAAAGUUUCAUGCAGGAGUCUUUCCCAGCCCUACCUGCAGAUGCUGCCAGGGAAUGAACCCGGGACCUUCUGCAUUCAAAGCAGAUGCUCUAGCAUUGAAUUACAGUACCAUCUAUCCAGUAGAAAGUCAGUGAAAAGCCUUGUGAAACAGAAAUGCCUCAACAGCACAUUUCAAAGCUGUCAUGGUGCAAAUUCGCUGAACGUCCCAAGGAAGAAAAUUCUACAGCAGCGGUGGCACCACAGAAAACUCUGCCCUCAGCAACCACCAUUGGAUAUUAGUCAAUGGCAGGCCAGAGAAUCGGGCUUGCAAGGCUGAUUGUAAAGCACGAGUAAGCUAAUAGAGGUGAAGGCUGUCCUUAACAUAAUCUAGCCUUAGACUGAGAAUUAUUUUGUGAUUUUGUUCAGGGUGGGGGGUUGUAAAUUGCUCUGGGCAGCAUUGAUGGAAUUGUAGUCUUGAAAAUACAUACUGUUCUGUUUUUCUGGAAUGUAUUGUUGGGGACACCCUGACCCCAACAUUGAACCCAGAGGUACCAACCCAGAAUUAUAUGGAAUCCAGGCCUGUGUCUGAUUCCAUUUUAUUAAGGAAUCAAUUAAGGCCUGAACUCAAGAUGAACUGACCAGUACAUGACAUCUAGGCUUCAUGAAUUGCCUCUGGACAGACAGUAAUUGCUCUGUGAAGGAAGAGGCAAUCCGGCAUUGUUUCUCAAUGGCAGGCUUGGUUUCAGGUGUCUCACACAUAUCCAAGUACUAUCACUGUGGAAUGCCUUGACAGAUGCAUGGCAGGAAUAUUUACAUACACUAGCAAUUUGAAUAUGUUGGUGCCAGCUCAUUCAUGUUGAAUCAGAACUCAUAGCCCAGCAGGCCAGAUUGAGUUCUGAUCUUUACCAGUACCACUGAACUCCUUGCAACAGGAAUUCAAAUGGAGUUAAAUGAUUAAACUCCUAAAAAUUGCCUAAGCUUGCUUUCAGGUAAUGUCUUUGGGGGAAGUUAAGAGCUGGGCUCACAUUUCCUCCUGCAAAAAAAGUCUAUGUUAAUCAUUGAUUAUUGCUGUGCUUUGCCCAAAGGGGAUAAUCCUGUCUCUCUCUGAGGGUCAUUCAGUAUGUAGAAUUAGGAGUAUUGUUACACCCAAUUGCUGUCUUUAGGAAUUUCACUCCAGGUAGAUGUACACAAAAGAAAAUUAUCUAAUCACUGUCUCACAAAUAUAGCUUUUAUUCUUCUUUUGUUCACACCUUUUAACACUUUUGGGACCCCGGAAAUCUGGGGACAAGAAAGGAUGCCCAUUUGCAAGCUCAGAGAUGCAGAUUUGCUUUAGGCAAAUCUGCACAGAACAAUCUCCUCCCCAAAACAGCAGCUAAUAGGAGAUGGAGCUCACCCUGGACUGAGCUAAUAUCCUGAACUAAUAUUAAUAAUUAAAAGACAAUAUCCAGAUGGUAGCAGCAAAUUGUCACCUUUUGGAGAUCCAGGAAGGAUGAGGAUAUUUUGAAUAGAUUCUAUGGAGAUCAAAGGUAGAAACAACUAUAAGGAUGGAGUGUACUGAACAGAGAGCUCGCAAGCUUUGCCUAACCAGCAGAUUUUGCUCAAGAACGAUCCUAGGGUUCGCUGUUCCAAGCCGCGGGGCUAAAGCAGGAACUCUUUCUCGGGUGAAGGGAAUGUCUGUGACCUCUGCUGCGCAGUCAGAAGUCAAGACUUCCCCCAGCCAUGCUGCUUUCGCUCCCCACUUCGCUCUGAGCACCUGCCCCCAGCCUGCAUGACUGCUUGAAGCUUGCAUCGCACCCCAAGCUCCUGUUUUCCAAGCACCAGUGUUUCUCCUCCAUCUGAAGCCUCACUGCUCCCAAGCCUCAGAUCCUGGUAAUAUGCUGCUUCUACAGCCCUGGGAUCCCUCUUUCCUUCCCCCUUCUUCCCCUCCCUUGUCUCUCUACUAAUUCCUGAUUUCCCCAACCAUACUACUGCACCUUCCUUACCUCCCCCCCUUUCCCAUCUAUAUUUGAAUUAUGUUAGGCUCUAGGAAGAUUUAAUACACACACACACACGAUAGUUAGGAACACUGGGUUGAUGUUGUUGCUAGCCAUGAUUGAAAUAUUAUUAGUAGUUCAGAUUGAUUGUUCUGUUCUCUGCUCACUUAGAUUGAUGCUGUUGUUCUUCAAUGAUCAAUAAAGCCCAUUGA
Molecule: long non-coding RNA, 3271 nt
Organism: Hemicordylus capensis (graceful crag lizard)
Lineage: Eukaryota; Metazoa; Chordata; Lepidosauria; Squamata; Cordylidae
Exons: 4
Source: RefSeq, a predicted model, not a curated record